AUACGGAGGGUGCAAGCGUUACUCGGAAUCACUGGGUGUAAAGCGCGCGCAGGCGGCUAUUUAAGUUGGAUGUGAAAGCCUACGGCUCAACCGUAGAACUGCAUCCAAAACUAUUUAGCUAGAGUGUGGGAGAGGAAGAUGGAAUUAGUUGUGUAGGGGUAAAAUCCGUAGAGAUAACUAGGAAUACCAAAAGCGAAGGCAAUCUUCUGGAACACUACUGACGCUGAGGCGCGAAAGCGUGGGGAGCAAACGGGAUUAGAUACCCUAGUAGUCC
RNAcentral lists this ribosomal RNA (274 nucleotides) under uncultured bacterium. RNAcentral describes it as "partial 16S ribosomal RNA". It matches the Rfam family "Bacterial small subunit ribosomal RNA", at positions 523 to 796 of the family's 1533-position model. The record is from RNAcentral.